GUAUAAUGGGUCAGCGACUUAUAUUCAGUGGCAAGGUUAACCAUUUAGGGGAGCCGUAGGGAAACCGAGUCUUAACUGGGCGUUCAGUCUCUGGAUAUAGACCCGAAACCGGGUGAUCUAGCCAUGGGCAGGUUGAAGGUUGAGUAACAUCAACUGGAGGACCGAACCGACUAAUGUUGAAAAAUUAGCGGAUGACUUGUGGCUAGGGGUGAAAGGCCAAUCA
Molecule: ribosomal RNA, 223 nt
Filed under: Vibrio fluvialis
Lineage: Bacteria; Pseudomonadati; Pseudomonadota; Gammaproteobacteria; Vibrionales; Vibrionaceae
Description: partial 23S ribosomal RNA
Rfam family: Bacterial large subunit ribosomal RNA
Source: RNAcentral